CGCUGAUUUAUACUCUCAGUGGUGGUGCACAAGGGUUCUAGGUUCUGAAAUGUGAAGUAGGCAGUCUCAACCUACAGCAAAAUGGGGCGUGUGGGGAGCUGGCCCCUGGAUGGAAACAGCUGGACUUCUCCAUCUCAAGACUCAGCCUCUCGGAUUUCAGCCACUGUCCUGCAGCAGGAAAUCACUAUUUGGACUGCAGAGGUGCCUCUUCCUGCCUUAGCCCCUGCGGAGGGGAGAGGGCCAGGGAGGGGGCCUUCCUGCCUACCUGGACCAGACCUUGAGUUGGUCAGGAGCACCCCCAACCCCAGUUCUCCCAGCCACUCAAGUUCCUUGAACCCAGCCCGGGUAAGGAACUGGGUUGAGCGGGGACUGAAGAGAAGCCCUCCCACCAUCGUCCAUCCUCCUGGGGACAGGGAGGCAGCAGUGAGAGAAGUGGACACUCCCCACAGCCAUGGUGGGUGGACGGCACCCCUCAUUGAGGUCAGCUAAGUCACAAACACAUGCCCUGAGGCCCAUUGAUCCCACCUUCAGGACUAUUCUACAGAAACUGCUCAUUUGUUCAAAAGGACAUGCUCAUGUAACUUGUUUAUAACAGAGAUGAAUGGAUGGGAUUCAGCGGAGCUGGGCACCUGGAUCAUGGCAGCUUAUCCCUCGGGAAGCUCCAGGCCCCUCUUCAAUGUGCUGAAUCCAUCGGGGCCUCUCCACCCUUUGUUCCUGGAAGCAGCGCCGCCAGUUUCCCAGGAGGUCUCCAUCUUUCAAGGGCUUCUUCAGCCACGUCUUCUCCUCAGGACAAUCCAAGGCCAACCACGAGACGUCCUCUCACUCACCCUGAACCCAUCCUGGUUUCCUCCAGGUCCAGGACCGGGUGGAGGGGGGCUUGGUCCAGGCAGCCCUCCCAACGCUCAGCCUCAGUGCUCAGGUCUUCCCCCUCCAACCCCCAACCCCUACCCCACACCAAGGGCCCUGGACACGUGGCCUCUGAGCCUCCCACCAGUCCUGACAGCUUUCUUCGAUCUCAGCCCCCUGGCAAUCAGGGGGUCAACUGCAGCUGGGCCACGUGAAACCCACUCAGGCCACAAACGCGUUCCAGUGCCACGCUGGUUGCCCCCUCCCCAGGCACGGCUCAGCCACUGACACAGGCGUCGCCCUAUGCCUCGGAGCCAUCAUGGCUUCGAGAAACUGGAGUCAGCAGGAGAUUAAUUAAUCAAAACCUGAGCACAUCUGCUGUUAAUUAAUUCUAUGCCAGGGGUUAACUCUUCCCUGUCUGGGCUUCUCCAUCCCUUUGGCCGGAAGAGGGAAAUAAAGGUGGGGAGUGGGUACCCCUCUUCCUUCCUUCCCUCAGGGGGAGAUAUGAAACAAGGGCGGGGGGCCCAGAAACCAGGAAAGCCCUAUUCAUUAGGGAGGGUGCGGGGAGGGCUGUGGGAGUGUUUGCUUUUGAGAGUCC
Molecule: long non-coding RNA, 1444 nt
Filed under: Capra hircus (goat)
Lineage: Eukaryota; Metazoa; Chordata; Mammalia; Artiodactyla; Bovidae
Description: lncRNA (ENSCHIG00000007730.1)
Source: RNAcentral